Molecule: ribosomal RNA, 253 nt
Filed under: uncultured bacterium
Lineage: Bacteria
Description: partial 16S ribosomal RNA
Rfam family: Bacterial small subunit ribosomal RNA
Source: RNAcentral
UACGGAGGGUGCUAGCGUUGUUCGGAAUUACUGGGCGUAAAGCGCGCGUAGGCGGCUUUGUAAGUUCGCGGUGAAAGCCCGGGGCUCAACCCCGGAACUGCCUUUAAGACUGCAUCGCUUGAAUCCGGGAGAGGUGAGUGGAAUUCCGAGUGUAGAGGUGAAAUUCGUAGAUAUUCGGAAGAACACCAGUGGCGAAGGCGGCUCACUGGACCGGUAUUGACGCUGAGGGGCGAAAGCGUGGGGAGCAAACAGG